Molecule: ribosomal RNA, 484 nt
Filed under: uncultured bacterium
Lineage: Bacteria
Description: partial 16S ribosomal RNA
Rfam family: Bacterial small subunit ribosomal RNA
Source: RNAcentral
AUUGAACGCUGGCGGCAGGCCUAACACAUGCAAGUCGAGCGGAUGAAGGGAGCUUGCUCCUGGAUUCAGCGGCGGACGGGUGAGUAAUGCCUAGGAAACUGCCUGGUAGUGGGGGAUAACGUCCGGAAACGGGCGCUAAUACCGCAUACGUCCUGAGGGAGAAAGUGGGGGAUCUUCGGACCUCACGCUAUCAGAUGAGCCUAGGUCGGAUUAGCUAGUUGGUGGGGUAAAGGCGUUCUAAGGCGACGAUCCGUAACUGGUCUGAGAGGAUGAUCAGUCACACUGGAACUGAGACACGGUCCAGACUCCUACGGGAGGCAGCAGUAGGGAAUGUUGGAAAAUGGGCGAAAGCCUGAUCCAGCCAUGCCGCGUGUGUGAAGAAGGUCUUCGGAUUGUAAAGCUCUUUAAGUUGGGGGGAAGGGCAGUAAGCUAAUACCUUGCUGUUUUGACGUUACCAACAGAAUAAGCACCGGCUAACUUCGUG